RNAcentral lists this ribosomal RNA (812 nucleotides) under Rhodococcus wratislaviensis. RNAcentral's name for it is "bacterial SSU rRNA". It matches the Rfam family "Bacterial small subunit ribosomal RNA", at positions 61 to 889 of the family's 1533-position model. The record is from RNAcentral. Lineage: Bacteria; Bacillati; Actinomycetota; Actinomycetes; Mycobacteriales; Nocardiaceae.
GUCGAGCGGUAAGGCCCUUCGGGGUACACGAGCGGCGAACGGGUGAGUAACACGUGGGUGAUCUGCCCUGCACUUCGGGAUAAGCCUGGGAAACUGGGUCUAAUACCGGAUAUGACCUCUGGGUGCAUGCCUGGGGGUGGAAAGGUUUACUGGUGCAGGAUGGGCCCGCGGCCUAUCAGCUUGUUGGUGGGGUAAUGGCCUACCAAGGCGACGACGGGUAGCCGGCCUGAGAGGGCGACCGGCCACACUGGGACUGAGACACGGCCCAGACUCCUACGGGAGGCAGCAGUGGGGAAUAUUGCACAAUGGGCGAAAGCCUGAUGCAGCGACGCCGCGUGAGGGAUGACGGCCUUCGGGUUGUAAACCUCUUUCAGCAGGGACGAAGCGAGAGUGACGGUACCUGCAGAAGAAGCACCGGCCAACUACGUGCCAGCAGCCGCGGUAAUACGUAGGGUGCGAGCGUUGUCCGGAAUUACUGGGCGUAAAGAGCUCGUAGGCGGUUUGUCGCGUCGUCUGUGAAAACCAGCAGCUCAACUGCUGGCUUGCAGGCGAUACGGGCAGACUUGAGUACUGCAGGGGAGACUGGAAUUCCUGGUGUAGCGGUGAAAUGCGCAGAUAUCAGGAGGAACACCGGUGGCGAAGGCGGGUCUCUGGGCAGUAACUGACGCUGAGGAGCGAAAGCGUGGGUAGCGAACAGGAUUAGAUACCCUGGUAGUCCACGCCGUAAACGGUGGGCGCUAGGUGUGGGUUUCCUUCCACGGGAUCCGUGCCGUAGCUAACGCAUUAAGCGCCCCGCCUGGGAGACCCCCCCC